GAUGAACGCUGGCGGCGUGCCUAAUACAUGCAAGUCGAGCGAACAGACGAGGAGCUUGCUCCUCUGACGUUAGCGGCGGACGGGUGAGUAACACGUGGAUAACCUACCUAUAAGACUGGGAUAACUUCGGGAAACCGGAGCUAAUACCGGAUAACAUGUUGAACCGCAUGGUUCAACAGUGAAAGACGGUCUUGCUGUCACUUAUAGAUGGAUCCGCGCCGCAUUAGCUAGUUGGUAAGGUAACGGCUUACCAAGGCAACGAUGCGUAGCCGACCUGAGAGGGUGAUCGGCCACACUGGAACUGAGACACGGUCCAGACUCCUACGGGAGGCAGCAGUAGGGAAUCUUCCGCAAUGGGCGAAAGCCUGACGGAGCAACGCCGCGUGAGUGAAGAAGGUCUUCGGACCGUAAAACUCUGUUAUUAGGGAAGAACAAAUGUGUAAGUAACUAUGCACGUCCUGACGGUACCUAAUCAGAAAGCCACGGCUAACUACGUG
Molecule: ribosomal RNA, 497 nt
Filed under: uncultured bacterium
Lineage: Bacteria
Description: partial 16S ribosomal RNA
Rfam family: Bacterial small subunit ribosomal RNA
Source: RNAcentral